This 746-nucleotide ribosomal RNA is filed under the name Pantoea agglomerans. Its description in RNAcentral is "bacterial SSU rRNA". It matches the Rfam family "Bacterial small subunit ribosomal RNA", at positions 47 to 782 of the family's 1533-position model. The record is from RNAcentral. Lineage: Bacteria; Pseudomonadati; Pseudomonadota; Gammaproteobacteria; Enterobacterales; Erwiniaceae.
CCUAACACAUGCAAGUCGAACGGCAGCACAGAAGAGCUUGCUCUUUGGGUGGCGAGUGGCGGACGGGUGAGUAAUGUCUGGGAAACUGCCCGAUGGAGGGGGAUAACUACUGGAAACGGUAGCUAAUACCGCAUAACGUCGCGAGACCAAAGUGGGGGACCUUCGGGCCUCACACCAUCGGAUGUGCCCAGAUGGGAUUAGCUAGUAGGUGGGGUAAUGGCUCACCUAGGCGACGAUCCCUAGCUGGUCUGAGAGGAUGACCAGCCACACUGGAACUGAGACACGGUCCAGACUCCUACGGGAGGCAGCAGUGGGGAAUAUUGCACAAUGGGCGCAAGCCUGAUGCAGCCAUGCCGCGUGUAUGAAGAAGGCCUUCGGGUUGUAAAGUACUUUCAGCGGGGAGGAAGGCGGUGAGGUUAAUAACCUUGCCGAUUGACGUUACCCGCAGAAGAAGCACCGGCUAACUCCGUGCCAGCAGCCGCGGUAAUACGGAGGGUGCAAGCGUUAAUCGGAAUUACUGGGCGUAAAGCGCACGCAGGCGGUCUGUUAAGUCAGAUGUGAAAUCCCCGGGCUUAACCUGGGAACUGCAUUUGAAACUGGCAGGCUUGAGUCUCGUAGAGGGGGGUAGAAUUCCAGGUGUAGCGGUGAAAUGCGUAGAGAUCUGGAGGAAUACCGGUGGCGAAGGCGGCCCCCUGGACGAAGACUGACGCUCAGGUGCGAAAGCGUGGGGAGCAAACAGGAUUAGA